Bemisia tabaci is the source of this 1317-nucleotide non-coding RNA. Lineage: Eukaryota; Metazoa; Arthropoda; Insecta; Hemiptera; Aleyrodidae. The record is from RefSeq and is a predicted model, not a curated record.
CACGUAAAUGAAUACAGCUACUUCAAAAUUCAAGGAGAAACAUAACAACAUCUGAUAAUUUUUUCAAAAGAAGUCUUGCUGAAGGAGUUAACACUGGAAAGCACAGUUUUUCAACAGAUCCAUUUUUUUAAAAAUUAUCUUUCAGAAUAAAGUGGUAGCUGAUUAAAAUAAAUUUAAAAUCCCUUUUGAAUCCGGCCACUAAAGGCACACGAGGAAGCUCUAUUUCUCAUCUACAAACCUAUGCCUAUCCUUCACUAUAUAUUCAAAACCAUCAGUCAAAUGGAUGUAUUAUUUGAAAAUAGGUUAAUUGACCAAACAGACCUGUUGUUAAAAAUGGUCAGGCUAACUUUUUAGGCAUUGAAUUAUCCAUGUGCGUUUUCUUUGGGUGAAUCUGGAAAUGAACUUUUACCCAUUUCGUACGAUUUUCAAGUAUAUACAAUUUUCCUUGAAAUGCCAGUUUUUUCUGGAGAAAAUUCCAAAUUACUGGAAAUCCCUACUGAGAUAUAAUUUUUUGAGCUUGUAUUCUGCGCUGAAAAAUGCAAAAGCAUCAGCGAAGUUACCUCUUUCAUACAACAUGAUCACAAUUUACAGGGUUGUGUUAACCAAAUGAUAAAAUAUCGCCAAAAAAAAUCAAAAUAAAACUUGCAUACCCGCUUACACUUAUUUUUUAGGGUCAAUUAACAAUUAAGGGCGGUUGUUUACGCUAACAAAAAGAGUCAGGGUUAGUCAGUUACACUUAUAUUUUAGGGUCAAUUUACAAUUAAGGGCGGUUGUUUACGCCAACAAAAAGAGUCAGGGUAGGGUGCUUGGGUUGCCAAGCUAGACAGAUGAGAUAAGCCCCUAGGGGCUUUUUCAAGUUGGGGAAAAAAAAUUAUUUUUCUCAGCAAAUGAAAACACAUUGCAAUAAGUAAAUUUAGUUCAAGUGAGUACGCAAAGUUUUUAAAAUUUUUCUCAUUUUAAUUUGUUCUUUCCCUUGUUAUGGUUUUUCUAGUAACAUCAUAUGAUAGAGCAUUUUUUGGAAUUUGCUCAACUUUUUGGAAAAAUAACCUUCUUUUGCAGUUGUUGGAAUAAUGAUAUGUUAAGGUAUUAUGGAUUAUUAAAAAAUAACACCUCGUUAGAUAGUACAGAGUAUAUAUCGAUGAUAAUAAGGCUUAGUUUAUGACAUCGUGCGUACAAGUGCUGAAGAGGACUAAGUACAGGAGAAAUUUUUAACUAGACAGGGAGCUUCAUCUUAUCGCUGAGUCUCAGGCUCAGUUGACCAUACGUCAUAAGUAAUAUAAUACAUGAACUGAUACAGGUUUGCAAAAUCUUGCGUUA